Molecule: ribosomal RNA, 499 nt
Filed under: uncultured bacterium
Lineage: Bacteria
Description: partial 16S ribosomal RNA
Rfam family: Bacterial small subunit ribosomal RNA
Source: RNAcentral
GAUGAACGCUAGCGGCAGGCCUAAUACAUGCAAGUCGAGCGGCAAGUCGAGGAGUAAUCUGAGACCUAGAGCGGCGUACGGGUGCGUAACGCGUAUGCAACCUACCUCAUACAGGGGGAUAGCCCGGAGAAAUCUGGAUUAAUACCCCAUAGCACAGCACAAGGGCAUCUGCGAGCUGUUAAAGAUUCAUCGGUAUGAGAUGGGCAUGCGUCUGAUUAGCUAGUUGGCGGUGUAACGGACCACCAAGGCGACGAUCAGUAGGGGUUCUGAGAGGAAGGUCCCCCAAACUGGCACUGAGAUACGGGCCAGACUCCUAUGGGAGGCAGGAGUAGGGAAUAUUGGGCAAUGGACGAGAGUCUGACCCAGCCAUGCCGCGUGCAGGAAGAAGGCCUUCUGGGUUGUAAACUGCUUUUAUCUGGGAAGAAAAGGCCCAUGCGUGGGGCAUUGCCGGUACCAGAUGAAUAAGCACCGGCUAACUCCGUGCCAGCAGCCGCAGUAA